This 495-nucleotide ribosomal RNA is filed under the name Septoria phlogis. RNAcentral's name for it is "eukaryotic LSU rRNA". The stretch from base 162 to 315 matches the Rfam family "5.8S ribosomal RNA". Lineage: Eukaryota; Fungi; Ascomycota; Dothideomycetes; Mycosphaerellales; Mycosphaerellaceae. The record is from RNAcentral.
GCGGAGGGAUCAUUACUGAGUGAGGGCUUUGGGGCUCGACCUCACACCCUUUGUGAACACAACUUGUUGCUUCGGGGGCGACCCUGCCGUUUCGACGGCGAGCGCCCCCGGAGACCAUCAAACACUGCAUCUUUGCGUCGGAGUUUAAGUAAAUUAAACAAAACUUUCAACAACGGAUCUCUUGGUUCUGGCAUCGAUGAAGAACGCAGCGAAAUGCGAUAAGUAAUGUGAAUUGCAGAAUUCAGUGAAUCAUCGAAUCUUUGAACGCACAUUGCGCCCUUUGGUAUUCCGAAGGGCAUGCCUGUUCGAGCGUCAUUUCACCACUCAAGCCUGGCUUGGUAUUGGGCGCCGCGGUCAAUCCGCGCGCCUCAAAGUCUCCGGCUGAGCUGUCCGUCUCUAAGCGUUGUGAUUUCAUUAAUCGCUUCGGAGUGCGGGCGGCCGCGGCCGUUAAAUCUUUCACAAGGUUGACCUCGGAUCAGGUAGGGAUACCCGCUG